RNAcentral lists this ribosomal RNA (440 nucleotides) under uncultured bacterium. Its description in RNAcentral is "partial 16S ribosomal RNA". It matches the Rfam family "Bacterial small subunit ribosomal RNA", at positions 338 to 795 of the family's 1533-position model. The record is from RNAcentral.
CCUACGGGGGGCAGCAGUAGGGAAUAUUGCUCAAUGGGGGAAACCCUGAAGCAGCAACGCCGCGUGGAGGAUGAAGGUUUUCGGAUUGUAAACUUCUUUUGUUAGAGAAGAUAAUGACGGUAUCUAACGAAUAAGCACCGGCUAACUCCGUGCCAGCAGCCGCGGUAAUACGGAGGGUGCAAGCGUUACUCGGAAUCACUGGGCGUAAAGAGCGCGUAGGCGGGAUAGCAAGUCAGAUGUGAAAUCCUAUGGCUUAACCAUAGAACUGCAUUUGAAACUGUUAUUCUAGAGUAUGGGAGAGGUAGGUGGAAUUCUUGGUGUAGGGGUGAAAUGCGUAGAGAUCAAGAGGAAUACUCAUGGCGAAGGCAGCCUGCUAGAACAUAACUGACGCUGAUGCGCGAAAGCGUGGGGAGCAAACAGGAUUAGAUACCCGAGUAGUC